This 112-nucleotide ribosomal RNA is filed under the name Corynebacterium sp. TAE3-ERU16. RNAcentral describes it as "partial 16S ribosomal RNA". It matches the Rfam family "Bacterial small subunit ribosomal RNA", at positions 1 to 111 of the family's 1533-position model. Lineage: Bacteria; Bacillati; Actinomycetota; Actinomycetes; Mycobacteriales; Corynebacteriaceae. The record is from RNAcentral.
UUUAUGGAGAGUUUGAUCCUGGCUCAGGACGAACGCUGGCGGCGUGCUUAACACAUGCAAGUCGAACGAUGAAGCGGUGCUUGCACCGUGGAUUAGUGGCGAACGGGUGAGU